Molecule: long non-coding RNA, 322 nt
Organism: Bubalus bubalis (water buffalo)
Lineage: Eukaryota; Metazoa; Chordata; Mammalia; Artiodactyla; Bovidae
Exons: 3
Source: RefSeq, a predicted model, not a curated record
UUUCUCUGAAACCUGUGGGAUGCUGCUUUAUCUGAGUCUGGUGCCAGCAGGCAGUGUUUAGAAACUCACAUCCCCAAACCAUCACCACAGCCAUGAGAACUGCUGUGUGUUCACCCUCAGACCAGGAAACCAGUCAUCCCAGAGAAGCUAAGGUAGAUGACAUCUCUCCAGAGAUGCUGAGCUAAGCAUCCAGGACCGACUGAAAGUGCAGACUGCAGGUUGCCAACUGGCAGCAGAUGGGAUGGAUCAGGCCAGCAGAUGUGGUUAGUUCAGCCAGAGCGGUCUGUCAUAGAAGCUAAAUUAUCAUGUUAUAUCGAGCGCU